RNAcentral lists this ribosomal RNA (465 nucleotides) under uncultured bacterium. RNAcentral's name for it is "partial 16S ribosomal RNA". It matches the Rfam family "Bacterial small subunit ribosomal RNA", at positions 28 to 507 of the family's 1533-position model. The record is from RNAcentral.
GACGAACGCUGGCGGCGUGCUUAACACAUGCAAGUCGAACGGUAAGGCUCCAGCUUGCUGGGGUACACGAGUGGCGAACGGGUGAGUAACACGUGGGUGACCUGCCCUGCACUUCGGGAUAAGCCUGGGAAACUGGGUCUAAUACCGGAUAGGACCGCACCGUGAGGGUGUGGUGGAAAGUUUUUUCGGUGUGGGAUGGGCCCGCGGCCUAUCAGCUUGUUGGUGGGGUAAUGGUCUACCAAGGCGGCGACGGGGAGCCGGCCUGAGAGGGUGGACGGCCACAUUGGGACUGAGACACGGCCCAGACUCCUACGGGAGGCAGCAGUGGGGAAUAUUGCACAAUGGGCGGAAGCCUGAUGCAGCGACGCCGCGUGGGGGAUGACGGCCUUCGGGUUGUAAACUCCUUUCACCAUCGACGAAGGGUUUCUGACGGUAGAUGGAGAAAAAGCACCGGCUAACUACGUG